Molecule: ribosomal RNA, 64 nt
Filed under: Salmonella enterica subsp. enterica serovar Typhimurium
Lineage: Bacteria; Pseudomonadati; Pseudomonadota; Gammaproteobacteria; Enterobacterales; Enterobacteriaceae
Description: partial 16S ribosomal RNA
Source: RNAcentral
UUAAAUUGCAGCGUUUGAUCAUGGCUCAGAUUGAACGCUGUCUGUAGGCCUAACACAUGCAAGU